ACCUUGCUGACGAGUGCUAAGUAGCACGAAACCCGAGUCCAGGGU
RNAcentral lists this non-coding RNA (45 nucleotides) under Schistosoma haematobium. Lineage: Eukaryota; Metazoa; Platyhelminthes; Trematoda; Strigeidida; Schistosomatidae. The record is from RNAcentral.